RNAcentral lists this ribosomal RNA (1354 nucleotides) under metagenome. RNAcentral's name for it is "SSU rRNA". It matches the Rfam family "Eukaryotic small subunit ribosomal RNA", at positions 1 to 1382 of the family's 1831-position model. The record is from RNAcentral.
UCUGGUUGAUCCUGCCAGUAGCAUAUGCUUGUCUCAAAGAUUAAGCCAUGCAUGUCUAAGUAUAAAUAGCAUACAGUGAAACUGCGAAUGGCUCAUUAAAACAGUUAUAGUUUAUUUGAUAAUGGAAGCCUACAUGGAUAACCGUAGUAUUUCUAGAGCUAAUACAUGCGUCAAGACCUGACUGAAUUGAAAGGUUGUAUUUAUUAGAUACGAAGCCAAUAUUCCUUCGGGAUUAUUGUGGUGAGUCAUAGUAACUGAUCGAAUCUCCCAAUAUGGAGAUAAAUCAUUCAAGUUUCUGCUCUAUCAGCUUUCGAUGGUAGUGUAUUGGACUACCAUGGCAGUCACGGGUAACGGAGAAUUAGGGUUCGAUUCCGGAGAGGGAGCCUGAGAAACGGCUACCACAUCUAAGGAAGGCAGCAGGCGCGUAAAUUACCCAAUCCUGAUUCAGGGAGGUAGUGACAAGAAAUAACAACCCGGGGGAUUCACGUCCUUACGGGAUUGCAAUGAGAACAAUUUAAAUCACUUAACGAGGAUCAAUUGGAGGGCAAGUCUGGUGCCAGCAGCCGCGGUAAUUCCAGCUCCAAUAGUGUAUAUUAAAGUUGUUGCAGUUAAAAAGCUCGUAGUUGAACUUCUGGCAGUGUGCAGUUAUGGUUCUUAUCAGGCUGCAUUGCUGCCAUCCGUCUGCAAACCCUAUGCAACCUUUAGUGGCUUGGUGGGGGGAGUAGACAUUUUACUUUGAAAAAAUUAGAGUGUUUCAAGCAGGUUAUCGCCAGAAUACUUUAGCAUGGAAUAAUGGAACAGGACUCUUGUCCAUUUGGUUGGUUAUUGGACCAGAGUAAUGAUUAACAGGGACAGUUGGGGGCAUUAGUAUUUAAUUGUCAGAGGUGAAAUUCAUGGAUUUAUUAAAGACUAACUUAUGCGAAAGCAUUUGCCAAGGAUGUUUUCAUUAAUCAAGAACGAAAGUUAGGGGAUCAAAGACGAUCAGAUACCGUCCUAGUCUUAACUAUAAACGAUGUCGACUCGGGAUUGGAAAGGUAUCUUUAUCCUUUCCAGCACCUUAUGAGGAAUCAUUAAGUCUUUGGAUUCUGGGGGGAGUAUGGUCGCAAGGCUGAAACUUAAAGGAAUUGACGGAAGAGCACCACCAGGCGUGGGACCUGCGGCUUAAUUUGACCCAACACGGGAAAACUUAUUUCAGCAAAACAUGAGUGGGAUUGACAGAUUGAGAGCUCUUUCUUGAUUUUAUGGGGUGUGGUGCAUGGCCGUUCUUAGUUGGUGGAGUGAUUUGUCUGGUUAAUUCCGUUAACGAACGAGACCUUAACCUGCUAACUAGUCAGGGUGUUAAACUACGCUACUG